UACGGGGGGAGCAAGCGUUGUUCGGAUUUACUGGGCGUAAAGGGCGCGUAGGCGGUCAGCACAAGUCAGUUGUGAAAUCUCCGGGCUUAACUCGGAAAGGUCAACUGAUACUGUGCGACUAGAGUGCGGAAGGGGCAACUGGAAUUCUCGGUGUAGCGGUGAAAUGCGUAGAGAUCCGGAGGAACACCAGUGGCGAAGGCGACACGCUGGGCCGUACCUGACGCUAAAGCGCGACAGCAUGGGGAGCAAACGGG
RNAcentral lists this ribosomal RNA (254 nucleotides) under uncultured bacterium. RNAcentral describes it as "partial 16S ribosomal RNA". It matches the Rfam family "Bacterial small subunit ribosomal RNA", at positions 524 to 776 of the family's 1533-position model. The record is from RNAcentral.